RNAcentral lists this ribosomal RNA (391 nucleotides) under uncultured bacterium. RNAcentral describes it as "bacterial SSU rRNA". It matches the Rfam family "Bacterial small subunit ribosomal RNA", at positions 28 to 417 of the family's 1533-position model. The record is from RNAcentral.
GACGAACGCUGGCGGCGUGCUUAACACAUGCAAGUCGAGCGGUAAGGCCCUUUCGGGGGGUACACGAGCGGCGAACGGGUGAGUAACACGUGGGUGACCUGCCCUCAGCUCUGGGAUAAGCCUGGGAAACCGGGGUCUAAUACUGGAUAUGACUCCAUGACGCAUGUUGUGGGGUGGAAAGCCUUGUGCGGCUGAGGAUGGGCCCGCGGCCUAUCAGCUUGUUGGUGGGGGAUGGCCUACCAAGGCGACGACGGGUAGCCGGCCUGAGAGGGCGACCGGCCACACUGGGACUGAGACACGGCCCAGACUCCUACGGGAGGGCAGCAGUGGGGGAAUCUUGCGCAAUGGGCGAAAGCCUGACGCAGCGACGCCGCGUGAGGGAUGACGGCCU